This is a long non-coding RNA of Saccostrea echinata, 332 nucleotides long. RefSeq lists it as uncharacterized. The transcript has 3 exons. The record is from RefSeq and is a predicted model, not a curated record. NCBI's taxonomy places the organism in Eukaryota, Metazoa, Mollusca, Bivalvia, Ostreida, Ostreidae.
ACCGUUGCCGUGUCCUUCAGUGCCUCCGCACACCAACAAAUGCUAGAAAUGUCAAAAAGCAAAACACCAGUGAGACUUCAUAAUGUACAAAUGUCACCCAGUCUGAAAUCAAGCGGAAAAUUCGAUGUCAAAUAUAACCAUCGCUCAAAUAUGACCCCUGCAAGAAAUUUGGACUUCGAGUUCCAGUUGCCAGAGCAUUAGAAAUAUAGAACCAUAAAAGAAAUAGAGGAAAACCUCAAUGCUUUCCAGAAGACUUGUGUCAAAGUAAAGAUUUUUGAAAAAGCAGAAGCAGAUACCCAAGUCCUCAAUUCCGGAACAGAAUUGAACAAGUG